ACAGUCAAGACCAACCAUCAGACCUUGACCUUACACCCCUGUACUUCUUCAGAGUAAUCAUUCCUGUUGGAUAAAAUAGGAAUGACGUUGAUUUCAACGUGCAGUAACUGGUAAAUUUACCUUCAGAGCUGAAAAAACAACCCCUUGGACCUUGAACCACCCAGAAAAGGAUUUAAGAAUUUAUCAUCUGUGGCCCAGCAGGGAUUCCCUUAUGACUGGAGUCAGAGUUUGCACAGACUCCUAAGAGG
Molecule: long non-coding RNA, 248 nt
Filed under: Mus spicilegus (steppe mouse)
Lineage: Eukaryota; Metazoa; Chordata; Mammalia; Rodentia; Muridae
Description: lncRNA (ENSMSIG00000006764.1)
Source: RNAcentral